GAAGCCUGCCAGGCCGCCGCUGGUGCAAGUCUCGAAAGAGCGCACUGGAGGAACGUCCGGACUGCACAGGACAGCGUAGGAGCUAACGGCUCUCCACCGUGAGGUGAGGAUCAGAGCAACAGAGACGAGUCGCUUGGGCAACCAGGCGGGUGAAACGGGCAAUCUCUACGCGCAGCAACACCAAGUAGGCCAGUCACGGGAGCAGGGCAACCUCUCUCGACCUUGUGGUUCCGCAGGGCGAGCUGGCGGGUAGGUGGCACCGAGCCGGGUGGGCGACCCCCGGCCCAGAUUGAUGGCGGUCACGCAUCCGGGGCAACCCGGGCGCGCACAGAAUCCGGCGUAUCGGCAGACUUCACAC
RNAcentral lists this RNase P RNA (358 nucleotides) under Ottowia sp. RNAcentral's name for it is "RNase P RNA component class A". It matches the Rfam family "Bacterial RNase P class A". From Rfam's summary of the family: Ribonuclease P (RNase P) is a ubiquitous endoribonuclease, found in archaea, bacteria and eukarya as well as chloroplasts and mitochondria. Lineage: Bacteria; Pseudomonadati; Pseudomonadota; Betaproteobacteria; Burkholderiales; Comamonadaceae. The record is from RNAcentral.